AAGCUCGUAGUUGGAUUUCUGUUAGUGUCUUAUAUCUUGUACUUUAUUGUACUUGUAUAGUACUAACAUAAUUCAUAUUACUUUUUAGUAUUAUGAAAUUUUACUUUGAGAAAAUUAGAGUGCUUAAAGCAGGCUUUUGCCUUGAAUACUCCAGCAUGGAAUAAUACGAAGGAUUUUUAUCUUUCUUAUUGGUUCUAAGAUAAAAAUAAUGGUUAAUAGGAACAGUUGGGGGCAUUUGUAUUUAACAGUCAGAGGUGAAAUUCUUAGAUUUGUUAAAGACAAACUAAUGCGAAAGCAUUUGCCAAGGAUGUUUUCAUUAAUCAAGAACGAAAGUUAGGGGAUCGAAGACGAUCAGAUACCGUCGUAGUCUUAACCAUAAACUAUGCCAACUAGAGAUUGGAGGUUGUUCCUUACUCCUUCAGCACCUUA
RNAcentral lists this ribosomal RNA (429 nucleotides) under Cryptosporidium environmental sequence. Its description in RNAcentral is "bacterial SSU rRNA". It matches the Rfam family "Eukaryotic small subunit ribosomal RNA", at positions 624 to 1090 of the family's 1831-position model. Lineage: Eukaryota; Apicomplexa; Conoidasida; Eucoccidiorida; Cryptosporidiidae. The record is from RNAcentral.